Myotis lucifugus (little brown bat) is the source of this 1293-nucleotide long non-coding RNA. RefSeq lists it as uncharacterized. Lineage: Eukaryota; Metazoa; Chordata; Mammalia; Chiroptera; Vespertilionidae. The transcript has 4 exons. The record is from RefSeq and is a predicted model, not a curated record.
UCAAUAUGACAUAUGUGAUGGAGCAGCAGCUAUGUUACCAGCAAACCAUUACUGCACAACAGCAAAGUAAGAAAUAGGCAAAACUAAAUGAAGAGUGCUAGACAAAGCAGGGUACAUGAACCUGUGGCUCCAGGCAUCUGGACAGUCUUGAAGUUUUGGAAGAACAAACUAUCUCCUUCACGCUGUCAUCUGCUUAAUAUGAAGGUCUCAGGCCCAGGUACUAUGCUGCGUGCUGGUGACACAGUGGAUCCCUGCCCAUCAAGCAGCCGCUUUGGUUCGAGCAAACUCAGAUGCUGUCAACUUUCUAAGCCAGUGGGAGCAUCUUCUCAACUCCGUAUUUUGAAAGCCAUCAAGAGCUCCCAGAGCUCCUGGCUGGAGGUUGCUCAAGAUGGAUUGUUUGGAAGAAGAGCAAGUAUUUAUUGAGCAUCUUCUAUGUGGUCACAGGAUGGCAACCACAGUAACCAGGCACCACAAGCAGGCACACCACCAGCCAAGAAAGAAGAGAAUCCAUCUUUCUUGUGUUUCAUUUUUAGGAACAAGAAACUUUUCCCACAAGCCCCUGUCAGACUUCCUUCUACCCCUUGUUGUCCAGAGGUGCAACCAAUCACCAAAAAGGAAAGUGAGAUCACCAUCUUGCGUGAAUGUGUGUUGGCUCUCGGGCACACACGAUCUCUUCCUGUCUACGAAGCAGCACAGUGAGUGGUCUAAGGCCCAGGUGGCUCUGUUUUCAAGGUGGGGAGACCAACUCACAAAGCAAGGAGCCAUUUGCUCUAGAAAUCCACAGCCUGGAAGAGCCCAGCCUGGAUAUAGGCUGCCAAUUUGGCCCAAGGAUGAGUGACACUCCAGGGAACCUGGAAAAAAGCGAUCUGGCCCAGUGACUUGGGUCUCUGUCUUUCUAAGCCCCCUCCCCACAUCUGCAGAGUGCACUCAGGGUCGUGGGGAGGACCAGAGAGCCCUCCCUGUAAGGCCCCCGGAUGGUUUCAAGGGCUUUGGGGUCUUCCUGGCUGAGGCUGCAGGCAGCUUGGGGAGGGCAAGUUCUGUUUCCUCAUCUCCGGACUAUCCUUGAAGGAAAACUGGGCCCUAAACACCGACUGACACCGGUAACAUGACUGCCUCUUGGUGCCUGGCCACCACCUCCUCCUGGGGCGGCCAGGGCCGUGGCCCUGGCUGGGCGCCUCCCCCACUCCCUCGAGGCAGGCGGCUGCUAAUGGCUCUCCCCACAAGCUGGUUCAUUAAAGAUUUGUUCUGUCGAGUUGCAAUCAAAAUAAACAGACCAGCCUGAAAGCCAGGGAA